AGAGUUUGAUCCUGGCUCAGAUUGAACGCUGGCGGUAUGCUUAACACAUGCAAGUCGAACGGUAACAGCAGAGCUUGCUCUGGCUGACGAGUGGCGGACGGGUGAGUAACGCGUGGGAAUCUACCUAGUAGUGGGGGAUAGCCAGAAGAAAUUCUGAAUAAUACCGCAUACGCCCUACGGGGAAAGAGGCCCUCUUCUUGAAAGGUCUCACUAUUAGAUGAGCCCGCGUUAGAUUAGCUAGUUGGUGAGGUAAGAGCUCACCAAGGCAACGAUCUAUAGCUGGUCUGAGAGGAUGAUCAGCCACAUUGGGACUUAGACACGGCCCAGACUCCUACGGGAGGCAGCAGUGGGGAAUAUUGGACAAUGGGCGCAAGCCUGAUCCAGCAAUACCGCGUGUGUGAAGAAGGCCUGAGGGUUGUAAAGCAGUUUCAAUAGAGACGAAAAGCUUAGGGUUAAUAACCAUCGGUCUUGACAUUAACUUUAGAAGAAGCACCGGCUAACCCUGUGCCAGCAGCCGCGGUAAUACAGGGGGUGCGAGCGUUAAUCGGAAUUACUGGGCGUAAAGCGUACGUAGGCGGAUAUUUAAGUCAGAUGUGAAAGCCCCGGGCUCAACCUGGGAACUGCAUUUGAAACUGGGUAUCUAGAGUUUGGUAGAGGCAGGUAGAAUUCCUAGUGUAGCGGUGAAAUGCGUAGAUAUUAGGAGGAAUACCAGUGGCGAAGGCGGCUUCUUGGAUUGAUACUGACACUGAGGUACGAAAGCGUGGGGAGCAAACAGGAUUAGAUACCCUGGUAGUCCACGCCCUAAACGAUGAGAACUAGAUGUUGGAGGAAUUUAUAAUCCUUUAGUGUAGCUAACGCGAUAAGUUCUCCGCCUGGGGAGUACGGCCGCAAGGUUAAAACUCAAAUGAAUUGACGGGGGCCCGCACAAGCGGUGGAGCAUGUGGUUUAAUUCGAUGCAAUGCGAAGAAUUUUACCUGGCCUUGACAUCCUUGGAAUUUCGCAGAAACGUGAAAGUGCCGGGAGCCAAGAGACAGGUGCUGUAUGGCUGUCGUCAGCUCGUGUUGUGAGAUGUUGGGUUAAGUCCCGUUACGAGCGCAACCCUUAUCCUUAGUUGCCAGCACGUAAUGGUGGGAACUCUAGGGAGACUGCCGGUGAUAAACCGGAGGAAGGUGGGGAUGACGUCAAGUCAUCAUGGCCCUUAUGGGUAGGGCUACACACGUGCUACAAUGGUGCAUACAGAGGGCAGCGAGACCGCGAGGUGGAGCAAAUCCCAGCAAGUGCAUCGUCGUCCGGAUUGGAGUCUGCAACUCGACUCCAUGAAGUCGGAAUCGCUAGUAAUCGCGAAUCAGAAUGUCGCGGUGAAUACGUUCCCGGGCCUUGUACACACCGCCCGUCACAUCAUGGGAGUGGGCUGCAAAAGAAGUGGCUAGUCUAACCUUCGGGAGGACGGUCACCACUUUGUGGUUCAUGACUGGGAUGAAGUCGUAACAAGGUA
This 1495-nucleotide ribosomal RNA is filed under the name uncultured prokaryote. RNAcentral describes it as "partial 16S ribosomal RNA". It matches the Rfam family "Bacterial small subunit ribosomal RNA". The record is from RNAcentral.